AACCUUAUGGACCUGCGGGCGUAUACCUGCGGAAGGAUCAUUACUGAGUGAGGGCUCACGCCCGACCUCCAACCCUUUGUGAACCAAACUUGUUGCUUCGGGGGCGACCCUGCCGACGACUCCGUCGCCGGGCGCCCCCGGAGGUCUUCUAAACACUGCAUCUUUGCGUCGGAGUUUAAACAAAUUAAACAAAACUUUUAACAAUGGAUCU
RNAcentral lists this unclassified non-coding RNA (211 nucleotides) under soil metagenome. RNAcentral's name for it is "partial contains 5.8S ribosomal RNA, internal transcribed spacer 2, and large subunit ribosomal RNA". The record is from RNAcentral.